This 465-nucleotide ribosomal RNA is filed under the name uncultured bacterium. Its description in RNAcentral is "partial 16S ribosomal RNA". It matches the Rfam family "Bacterial small subunit ribosomal RNA", at positions 338 to 795 of the family's 1533-position model. The record is from RNAcentral.
CCUACGGGUGGCAGCAGUAGGGAAUCUUCCACAAUGGGCGAAAGCCUGAUGCAGCAACGCCGCGUGGGUGAUGAAGGUCUUCGGAUCGUACAACCCUGUUGUUAGAGAAGAAAGUGCGUGCGCGUAACUGUUCACGUUUCGACGGUAUCUAACCAGAACGCCACGGCUAACUACGUGCCGGCAGCCGCGGUAAUACGUAGGUGGCAAGCGUUGUCCGGAUUUAUUGGGCGUAAAGGGAACGCAGGCGGUCUUUUAAGUCUGAUGUGAAAGCCUUCGGCUUAACCGGAGUAGUGCAUUGGAAACUGGGAGACGUGAGUGCAGAAGAGGAGAGUGGAACUCCAGGUGUAGCGGUGAAAUGCGUAGAUAUAUGGAAGAACACCAGUUGCGAAAGCGGCUCUCUGGUCUGUAACUGACGCUGAGGUUCGAAAGCGUGGGUAGCAAACAGGAUUAGAUACCCCUGUAGUC